This 660-nucleotide ribosomal RNA is filed under the name Providencia rettgeri. RNAcentral's name for it is "bacterial SSU rRNA". It matches the Rfam family "Bacterial small subunit ribosomal RNA", at positions 834 to 1494 of the family's 1533-position model. The record is from RNAcentral. Lineage: Bacteria; Pseudomonadati; Pseudomonadota; Gammaproteobacteria; Enterobacterales; Morganellaceae.
GAGGAGUGGCUUUCGGAGCUAACGCGUUAAAUCGACCGCCUGGGGAGUACGGCCGCAAGGUUAAAACUCAAAUGAAUUGACGGGGGCCCGCACAAGCGGUGGAGCAUGUGGUUUAAUUCGAUGCAACGCGAAGAACCUUACCUACUCUUGACAUCCAGAGAACUUAGCAGAGAUGCUUUGGUGCCUUCGGGAACUCUGAGACAGGUGCUGCAUGGCUGUCGUCAGCUCGUGUUGUGAAAUGUUGGGUUAAGUCCCGCAACGAGCGCAACCCUUAUCCUUUGUUGCCAGCGAUUCGGUCGGGAACUCAAAGGAGACUGCCGGUGAUAAACCGGAGGAAGGUGGGGAUGACGUCAAGUCAUCAUGGCCCUUACGAGUAGGGCUACACACGUGCUACAAUGGCGUAUACAAAGAGAAGCGACCUCGCGAGAGCAAGCGGAACUCAUAAAGUACGUCGUAGUCCGGAUUGGAGUCUGCAACUCGACUCCAUGAAGUCGGAAUCGCUAGUAAUCGUAGAUCAGAAUGCUACGGUGAAUACGUUCCCGGGCCUUGUACACACCGCCCGUCACACCAUGGGAGUGGGUUGCAAAAGAAGUAGGUAGCUUAACCUUCGGGAGGGCGCUUACCACUUUGUGAUUCAUGACUGGGGUGAAGUCGUAACAG